AUUGAACGCUGGCGGAAUGCUUUACACAUGCAAGUCGAACGGCAGCACGGACUUCGGUCUGGUGGCGAGUGGCGAACGGGUGAGUAAUGUAUCGGAACGUGCCCAGUCGUGGGGGAUAACGUAGUGAAAAUUACGCUAAUACCGCAUACGAUCUAUGGAUGAAAGCGGGGGAUCGCAAGACCUCGCGCGAUUGGAGCGGCCGAUAUCAGAUUAGGUAGUUGGUGGGGUAAAGGCCCACCAAGCCAACGACCUGUAGCUGGUCUGAGAGGACGACCAGCCAGACUGGAACUGAGACACGGUCCAGACUCCUACGGGAGGCAGCAGUUGGGAAUUUUGGACAAUGGGCGAAAGCCUGAUCCAUCCAUUCCGCGUGCAGGAUGAAGGCCCUCGGGUUGUAAACUGCUUUUGUACAGAACGAAAAGGUUUCUACUAAUACUAGGAGCUCAUGACGGUACUGUAAGAAUAAGCACCGGCUAACUACGUGCCAGCCGCCGCCGCAG
RNAcentral lists this ribosomal RNA (500 nucleotides) under uncultured bacterium. RNAcentral's name for it is "partial 16S ribosomal RNA". It matches the Rfam family "Bacterial small subunit ribosomal RNA", at positions 30 to 523 of the family's 1533-position model. The record is from RNAcentral.